GUAGGUGAACCUGCGGAAGGAUCAUUAGUGAAUUCAACAUUAACCGAUGGCAGCAAUGCCUGACGUAGCGGACGAGCCCCUCGUGGUUCGUCCGUGAAUACACAUCCAUAACACCUGUGAAAUGUCUGUCAGGCCCAUCGGCUUCGGCCCCUGGACUUGCACUAUACAAACUUACUCUGUAAAAAAUGUCGAAAUACAAAAAUUAAAUAAAACUUUUAACAACGGAUCUCUUGGCUCUCGCAUCGAUGAA
This 250-nucleotide unclassified non-coding RNA is filed under the name plant metagenome. Its description in RNAcentral is "partial contains small subunit ribosomal RNA, internal transcribed spacer 1, and 5.8S ribosomal RNA". The record is from RNAcentral.